UACAGAGGGGGCAAGCGUUAUUCGGAAUUAUUGGGCGUAAAGGGCGCGUAGGCGGCCUGGCAAGUGGAAGGUGAAAUCCCUCGGCUGAACCGAGGAACUGCCCUCCAAACUGCUUGGCUUGAGUCCGGGAGAGGUGAGUGGAAUUCCCAGUGUAGCGGUGAAAUGCGUAGAUAUUGGGAGGAACACCAGUGGCGAAGGCGGCUCACUGGACCGGAACUGACGCUGAGGCGCGAAAGCGUGGGGAGCAAACGGG
RNAcentral lists this ribosomal RNA (253 nucleotides) under uncultured bacterium. Its description in RNAcentral is "partial 16S ribosomal RNA". It matches the Rfam family "Bacterial small subunit ribosomal RNA", at positions 524 to 776 of the family's 1533-position model. The record is from RNAcentral.